Long non-coding RNA from Archocentrus centrarchus (flier cichlid), 432 nucleotides. RefSeq lists it as uncharacterized. The record is from RefSeq and is a predicted model, not a curated record. The transcript has 4 exons. NCBI's taxonomy places the organism in Eukaryota, Metazoa, Chordata, Actinopteri, Cichliformes, Cichlidae.
UCAGCAGAGAUUCAUGUGAAUAUUGAAGGUGAACAGGCAGAAAUAUUAUUUGGUGUCCUCGCUAUACUGAAGACUGUGGGAAUCAUAAUGCUUGUGAGCACACUGGUCAUCUUUGAGUGCUGGUUCAGAUCAAAACGCUCCAACAAACCAGAGACAGAAAGCUGUCAGAUGAGCAGAGUUACAUCACAGCCCAACAACUAAAGUGUCUGCAAGUCCAGGAGGACAAACUGCCUCAAAAUAUCACUUCAUUCACUUGAUGGUGUUAAUGAGAUGAUGCUCAGUGUGAUGGUCGUCCUCCUGUGAGGUUCCUCCAUCUCCACAAAGAAACUCUGGGUCUCAUUCAGUGUCCUCUGUGUUCUUGGUUUCUUGAGCUCUUCUGUCCCAGAGUCCAGUCAAGUUAUCAACUCCAACAGUAGAAAAUUGUAGUUUCUU